UCGUCUCCAACAGUGAAAUCCUCGUACCCCAGCUGCUGCCUCGAUUGCCGUUCGUCGUCAUUGCCGUCGUCGUUGCCAUCGCCGUCGAUCAUCUUGGCUGAUCUUGCCUCGUCCAAAGGUUAGCUUCCGUCUUCUCCGCCCCUCUCUUUUUCAUCUUCUCUCUCUUUCUCCGGCUUUGGGGCCGAUGCUGUUCCUCUCUCCCUUUCUUUGUUCCUCUCUCCCCUCUCUUUCGCCUCCCUUCCCAUCUUUAUCUUUUCCGACUCUUCUCGUGAGAUGGCGAGAUCUCCUUCCCUUUUUCUUCGAGCACCGAGGCCUCCUCCAACGGCCGACGAGCCCCUCUCUCUUCUUUUCCUUCUCUCUCGCUCUCCCUCACUUUCUUUCUGCCUUCUCUCUCUCUCCCUCCCUCCCUCUCCUCCCCGCUCUUCCCCCAUCGUCUCCCCUCCUUCUGACGGAUGGCCAACUCCGAGGCCUUCUUUCUCUUCUUCGACUGAUGGUGGGGUAUCCCGGCUCUUCCUGCUACAAAAGGGGAUCCCACCUACGUCUAGUGUAAUUAUGGCAAGAUUUAAAGAACCACAACCCUAUCAUCAUCCUGGCAUUCCACAGUCCGAGGUUCCUUAUGUGCACCAUCCAGAACCCACUACUUAUAGUAGGUAACGAUGGUUUCUCUUAGUCAUUUUUUUUCUUUAGUGGUUGGUAGACAGAUCUAAAGGAUUUUGCAUUCCAGGCUUAUGAAGGCGUGUGAUUUGCUCAAAAAGAGUCAGGGUGAAUAUUGGGAAAACUAGAUAUAUUUAUAUCAUGGUUGUAUUCAUUACAAUACUUGGUGCAUUUUACAAGUAAAUCCCUUGUUUUGGCAUUUCCCUUGCAGAGGUAUUGAACUAGAGAUGCAUUAGCAUCUUGGUACAAUAGAAAUUUUCCAGCAAACUUGCGACCUGCUGUUUUGAUGGUGUUAGCAGCCAUCUAUUGGAGCUAACAGAUUGUUAUUCAUUCCUACCUCGGUAAUUGUUUUGAUGGUGUUAACAGAUUGUGACCUGCUGUUUUGAUGAUUGCUUAUGUACUGGAAACUUCAUCUGCUUUCGUGGAUCAAUUAUCUGUUUCAGAGGUUUUAUUACUAGGUUCUCUGUAUUUUUUUUUUUAAAUUAGGAAAAAAAAUUUACAUUGUUUCAUGAGUGGUUUAUUGGGGUUUAUAGAAUGUGUGCCCUGUUGAAAUGAUCUGCUAAGUAAGAAUUUUUCUUCUGUAGAAUUUGAUUAGAAAGAGGGCUUGAUUUUAUUUCUCUUGUGUUAUCCACUAAUCGUUGACAUGGGAUUUGUGUACCUCUUGCUUAAAUUAUGGAAUCAUGAAUAUAAUGAUGUUAGGGCUGGGAGUUCUGGCAUGGUCUGGCUCUUGAAGGUGGCAAACUCUAUUUCUGAGCAAGAACAGACAAAAAAUUGCCUUAUUUUAUUUUAUCUGAAAUGAAAAGAAAUGAGACUGAGGCAUGUUCAGAUUCUUAAGCAAUUAGGUUGGCUGUUAUGCAAUUUUUAUGGUGAAAUGUGAGACUGGUGCUUUUCAAUUUUGCAGGUUUACACAUCACUCGCAGAGAUGAUCUUCCAUCAGGUUGUUUUUAGGUUUAAAGUUAAGCCGAUUGGAACUUAAGGUUUUUCUUGGAUCAUAGAGGAAAUGUAUAUCUAAAGAAAUAUAUCACUAAAGAACUUCUCCUUAGAUGACACUCUGUGCUCUUGUUCUGGUUGUGGUGCCUCUAAAUGGUUAUCAGUUGCACUGGAUAGUCUUAGAGAAGGGCUAGACCCUUGGAACAUCUCAAGUAUUUUAUUUAUCUUGUAUAAUUUUGUUGGAGAAGGCAAUAGAAAUAUCGAGACAUUUGGGAUUUUAUGAUUGCUUGUGUUAAUCACAUUAUGUUGUUAGUCCAACCUUUUUUUGCCUGAAUAGGAUAUAUAAGUUUCUUGGAAGAGAUUAUUUUACUUGCAUCAAGUAAAACUUAUAUCACAAAAAAAAAAAAGUUUGGUUUCAAGCAAGGGAAGUAGUUAGGCACGAGGGAGCAUGAGGAAAAUGUACAAUCUUACUAGAAUUUUUUUCCUAGAGAGAUUUUGGGGGGCCAGAGCCUAGGGAUUUGGAUUUUAUAGCAUCUGAUACUAAGGAGAGAUAAGAGAUUAAGAAUAUUCUUUUUAAGGAUAUGGAACUGAUGGUUAAAAUGGCAUGGAAAAAAGUCCAAGCUCCGAAGUUUACAUCAGCUUCCUUUGCUUUUUGUCUUCAACAUUAUUAUACUUAGCACAUGUACCAAGAUCAGUCAAAUGGUUUCCUAAACAGAAGGCUACAUAGCACAAAGGACAUCACUUGUUGUUCUUGUUCCUAAGAAAGAGGAGGCUAUGCAUAAGGAGCAUAAGCCACUUAACCCUCUUAUUGAAAAAUCAUGAUCUUAUUGCAUUAAGUGGUUUUCUUGAAAGCACCAUAGGUAUCAUGCAUGAUGGGGUCACAAGCAUCCAUUGAAUUAUGUGCUAAGUUAAUUCGAUACUUAGAUACUCCGUAAACAAUAAAAGAUGGUAAAUCAUGUGAUUGUAAAGGCCUAGCAGAUACUUAGAUACUCUGUAAUUCUCCAACUCUACUAGGUUGAAGAGUCACACUUAGGCCUCUAAAAAGGUUGGUUUGAGGUCAUGUCUGGCUGGGCCUGAACUUGAUGCAAAAUUUUGAACACUAAACUAACCCAAGCUAGGAACCCAACUGGUUGGCCAAACCAUGCCUCAAAUGUGAACCAGCUUACAGUUGGACCCCCUACUUAAUUAUCCAACUUGGCUAUAAUUUUCUCUUUGCUUAUUUUCCCAUCUUGUCAAGGGAUUUGGUGGGUAGAGGCAUGCAGGAGGCCAGAAGCAUAAUAGUAAAUCAUGAGCCAGUGGUCGGUGAGGGUCCGAGAUGGUGGUAACAAAUCAAUUUUGAUUGUGUAAUAUGCAAUGCAUGUGAGUGAUUUUUUUUGUUGAUGUAGACUAAGCUUUUUGAAGUCAUAACUGAAGUUAAUGACCCAUCCCAUUAUUGACCAACUAUAUUAUUUAAAUUGCCCUUAAUUAGCUUAUAUUAAGUUCCUUCUAAUUUUUUCUUUUACUGUUAUAUGCUGGAUUUUUUUUAAUUACUGUAUUUCUUUUCAUUUACUGUUAUUGAAUUGCCACUAAUCUAAAAGAUGUUGUAUUUAACACAUUGUUGUAGAUAUUAUGGGAAAAUCAAGAAAACGUAUCAUGGAGCCUUUCCAAAGGAGGAAAAAAGCAAACUUUUGGCAUUCGUGACCGUAAAA
This 3272-nucleotide long non-coding RNA is filed under the name Elaeis guineensis (African oil palm). Its description in RNAcentral is "long non-coding RNA (EGUI_LNC001803)". Lineage: Eukaryota; Viridiplantae; Streptophyta; Magnoliopsida; Arecales; Arecaceae. The record is from RNAcentral.